Helianthus annuus (common sunflower) is the source of this 2603-nucleotide RNA transcript. It is a transcript of the gene named transcription factor bHLH49, with no coding region annotated. Lineage: Eukaryota; Viridiplantae; Streptophyta; Magnoliopsida; Asterales; Asteraceae. The transcript is spliced from 8 exons. The record is from RefSeq and is a predicted model, not a curated record.
AUUAUUUUAACAGCAGCAGUGGCGGUGGUUAAUCAUCAAGAGCUCUGUUUUUCAUGCAGGCGUGGGCAUAAAUGCAGGACUUUUGCCAUUAACAAGCUUCUCUUUCAGUUUCCCUUCAACCACCCAUUAAAAAAAACACACAUUUACACCUCAAAACACACACUGAUCUUCAAAAAAUUUGUGGGUUUCUUUUAAUUUCUUGUGGGUAUUGAUUAUUCUCAUAAAAAACAGUAAUUUAAACCCCAAGAUUUGUGCUUUUUUCAAAUUCUUGAAGUGGGUAUUGCUAAAAGUUGGUCAGAUUCUCUGAAAUGAGUAUCUUUUUCUCCGUCUAGGGUUUGGUUUGGUCAGAAGCUCAGAAUGAAUGAUGAAUGAUGAAAGAUGAAAUGGAUGAUGGGUUAUUUAAUAUUUUUAUUAUGAUACUGAAUGAAUUAACUGCUCAAAGAAGACACUUUUCAGAGGUCUUUAAUGAGUUUUCUUGUCAUUGGUGAUGCAUCUCUUUCAGUGAAUUAGGUAUUUAUUUUGAUUUGAUUUACUGAUAUUAUCUGGAAUCAUCCUUUUUGGAACAGUCUUGUCAAUCUUUAACAUUAAAUUUCCAACCUUUUUGUUUGUUUGGAUCAUCUUUAUUGCUUCCAGUAGCUUAAAUUUCUCAUAUUUAAGUUGUUUGUUCAGUUUGGGGCUUUAAUUUUUCUGGGUUUUUGUUGCUGCUUGAGGGUUUGUAAAUUAGGGUUUUUUAGGGUUUUGAUAUGGCUGGUGAGGAUGAAAUUGAAAGGGGAAAUAGAGAUGAGGAACAAAUACAUUACAAUUCAACCAAUUUAGCCUCAGAUUGGCCUUUUAACAACAACCCUAAUGAUCUUGCAAACACAUCAAGUAACCCCAUUUGGGAUCAUCAUCCCACAAAUCCACAAAAUUUAGCUGCUUUUUGUGAUAUGAAUAUGCAAAACAAUGCAACCACUUCAUCAUCCUCACUAGGGUUUAGAAAAGGGAAUCUUGACAUGUGGGCACAUACAAAUUCUGCCAUUAAAAGGGGUGGUGGUGGUAUGUUCUUGCCACCGGGCGGUUCCGCUAUGCUUCCGCACACGUUAUCGCAGUUUCCGGCGGAUUCGGGUUUUAUCGAGAGGGCAGCUAGGUUAUCAUCAUUUAGUGCUGGUAAUUUUGAAGAUAUUAUAAACCCUUUUGGCAAUGCACCUGAAACAUCUUUGAGCCCUUAUUCUAGUAGACAACAAGUGCAUCCACAAGAGGGUUUUGUUGGAAAUGGGUUUAAAUCGGGUUCCGGUGAAGCGUCUAAAGAUUUGCCAUUGCCGGUUGAUGGUGGGACCAAUGACGGAAGUCAGCCUAAACCGGGCGGGUCGGGUUUUUCGGGCAAUAAUUUGCCCGGUGAAACCGAAUUUAGUGGUGGUGGUCAGGAUGAGAAUUCGAACUCGGGUCAUGGCCCGAAGAAACGAAGAAGAAGUGAUCAGGAUAGUGAGCACAAUCAAGUCAAACGGUCCCCGCAAACGCCUGGUGAAGCCACAAAGAACAAUAGUGAAGUCCAACAAAAGGGUGAUAAUACUAACAACCCGAAUUCGGUUGCUAAUAAAUCAAGUGGGAAACAUGGUAAGCAGGUAUCGCAAUCAUCCGAUGCACCAAAGGAAGAAUACAUCCACGUACGCGCGCGAAGAGGUCAAGCUACUAAUAGCCACAGUCUUGCAGAAAGAGUGAGGAGGGAAAAGAUUAGUGAAAGAAUGAAAUUCCUUCAAGACCUUGUCCCCGGAUGUAGCAAGGUCACAGGCAAAGCGGUUAUGUUGGAUGAAAUCAUUAACUAUGUACAGUCGUUACAACGACAAGUUGAGUUUUUGUCGAUGAAACUCGCUACUGUUAAUCCGAGGAUGGAUUUUAACCUUGAAGGACUCCUAGCAAAAGAUAUACUUGAAUCAAGAUUGGGAUCUUCCGGUUCACUUGGUUUUAGUGCUGACAUGGCUAUGCCGUAUACUACUAACCAAUCACAAAUGGUGAUAAUGCAAGGCGGGAUUCCUGGUGUCGGAAGCUCUUCCGAUGCAGUCAGAAGAACCAUCGGUUCCCAUUUGAUGGCCAUCGGUGGAGGGUUUAAAGAUCCUGCUUCCCAGACAGGUACCUAGUUCGUGGGACGACGAGCUUAACAACAUCGUCCAAAUGGGAUUAAAUCCUAAUACUCCCGUCAGCAGCCAAAAUUUAGGAUCCACACCUCCAGGCCAUCUGAAAGCCGAACCUUAAAAACUUAGGCUUCACAAAAAGAUAAUUAGAAGAAUCCCGGGUCGAAUCUUGUGGGGUCCAGACACCGGGAGAUGUAAUUAGUCUGUGGGUAUUCUUUUUAUAUAUAAACUGCAAGAGAAGGUGAUAAUACAUAAUUCACGGAUGGGAAUCGAGUUGCUCGGUAAGAACAUCAAAUGAUUUUGUUGACUCAAAUUGUAACGCAACCGACGAAUCUGCAUCCGGUUUAUCUUUGUUAAGAAUAUUUGGAAUUAUGGGUUGUUUUAUUUUGUUAAAAAAAAAAAAAAAAUCUUUGUUUGUAAUUUCUGAUUGUUUUAGAACAGUUUGUUGGUUUCUUCAUACUUAACAUGGUUUUAGUAAAAUUGAUUUGUGGACUC